AAAUGUAACAACUUGAACAAGGGUGAUCAGUUACUAAGAGGAGUAUUUAAUCUCCUGAGAAGAAAAUAUACAGAGCAUAGCUAUUAUAUUUACAGAAAUAUAUUUAACUGUUUGUAACAUAUGCCAGUUUAGAGCUCAUAGUGCAUAUAAUAAAAUUCCAGCAGAGCGAAAAUGACUGUUAGAUACAAUAGAACACUCUAAGAGUCAUUAUCAAAAAUGAGCAUAUCGGUGUGUAAAAUGUAUGGUAGUUUUAUUUAACGGUUGUUUCAUUGUUUACCGUAGUGUUAAAAGAAAAUUGACUUGUUUAGUGGAUAUAGAAACUUGAAACUAGACCAUGUACUGGAAACAAUUCAGUAUGCCUACAAAAGUUGGUCUCCAGCACAAAACAAUAAAACAUCAAAUGGUUAUGUCUUAGGCAGAUCAAAUAGUGUUAGGAUGACACUUGCAAAACCUUGCAAACUGAGUCCACAUGAGAAGCCAGAUAAUCAAGAUUCCUUAGAUGAGCGUAAGUCCUCUUCAACAGAAGAUGCCACAUUAUGUCCUCAUCCAACAGGAUUUAUGUAUGAACAG
RNAcentral lists this long non-coding RNA (570 nucleotides) under Homo sapiens (human). RNAcentral's name for it is "non-protein coding lnc-CDY1B-6:1". Lineage: Eukaryota; Metazoa; Chordata; Mammalia; Primates; Hominidae. The record is from RNAcentral.